CCAAGUUCUGUAUAAUCACCAAAACAUAUACUUCCAAGUUAUAAAAUAAAAUUAUAUACUUACUUAUGUAAGUAAUAACCAUCAUAGAGCAACCUUAAAAUGUAAAAUUUGUAGAAAAUUCAUCUUUAGUCUAAAUGAAGUGAACCAAAUAUCUAUAGAACCAGCAAACAGUGGGCUUCAACAUAGUAAAAUAAAAUAUGGAACCUUCUGUACAGGUUAUAGCUCUAAACUUUAAAUUUAUAGGAUAGGAGCUAAUCACAUAGUAUCGAUUGAGCAAUAUGUAUAUAUAUAAAUGUACAUAGAAAUACACUCUAGCUAUAAUGAAACCCAAAUAAAACUUGUUAGACCAGUGAAUGCAUAGUUCCAUUCCCAUCCACCAAAACUUAAGGCACUUAGCUUAUGUAAUAAUUUCUAGGUUGAUAUAAUAAAUUGCUAACAUGGACUAGAGCUCCCCUAGUUUAUAAAAUAUGAACCAUGAUAAUAAAGACCAUAAGCCUAUGAACUAAGGUUAGAUUAGUUAACUAAAAUACUCAUUUUAUACAUCACUAGCUAGAUGAGGCAAGUUCUAGACCUAAACCUCUAAAGCCAUGAACCUAUAGAACACUAUACACCUAUAACACGUUAUAAUUUGUAAAAUACAUAAAGAAUUCAUAUUAACUCUAAAAAUUAUGAAACCAAAUGUGUUAGUCUUAGAAAACACAUAUCUUCACCCCAGCAAACAUAAACUUAAUAAGAAUCACCUUAUAACAGCAUUUCACAAUAGUACCUAAGUAAAUCCUACGCUAUACCGAUGAAACUUCUAAAAUUCAUAAUUCUCAAAUGAAAUGAGAUAAAAUAGAAAUUCUUUCACCUAAAUUCAUUUUAGACCAGUACCUAUUCGCUGUGCACAAAUCAUCCAUUUUAGAGCAUUUUGGAUUUUUCGCAUAUUUCGGUGUUUAAUUGCAUAACGUGUACUUUGUAUAGAUGAUUGCUUAAUCGGUGAAGAAGUGAUUUAGGUGCUGAUAUUUUCCUGAUUCAAGGCAAGUCCCACCUCCCUCUCUUUGAUCACUUUGAACCUAUGUUUUGGAGGUUAUUGAAAAUGUUUGCAAAUCUUGCAUGUCGAUUGUACACUAAUAAAUUAAAAUUUUGUUAAACUUGUUGGACAAACUCCUAUUGUUUGCAUUCACCUUGACCCCACAUAUAUCCAUAUCCCUCACUCCUAACCUUAGGAACAAUAUGACUAUACCACUUUAUAUAUGACUUUUGGUGACACUAGGUUACUAUAUAAAGCUUAGCCAUGCUUAGAAUUGUCUUCCUUGUCAUUAUGGGCUCAUUACAAACAUGAAAAUAAAUUUUUAAUUAAUCUGGACAGAACUUUAAUACUUGUGAUUUUGAUAAAUAAAAUGGUGGAAAAACAUGGAUUUUAGGUUUGGGCCUCAAGUGGUGCACAUAUGGUGAUUAGUUGUGUACCGAUAGGGGGAGAGUGUGCCCAAACCGACCUAAGGACUUCACUCAAUGUCAGUUCAUUUCGUAUACAGUGCAACCACAUGUGCUAGUAUGGGAUAGCCCAAGCUUAGUAAAUUAUUUAUGGUUUAGCCUUACAUUCUGGUAGGCUGGUGUGUAUGAGUUCGGAUAACUCAGAGGAACUUCCUAUUUACCCCGACGUGGUAGUUUAGGUGACUAAGUCUGUCCAAUACAACGGUAUUGUGCCACGUGGGUGGGUUCCCGUUGUGUCCGCCACCACGGCGUUAAGUUUAAGGCGUGGGCCCGCCACUUAACGGUUCUAGGUCAUAUAACGUGUAUGGCUUAGGAUGGAGUAACACGUAUCGUGCUGGUGUAAGGCUAAAUCAUGAAUUUUGGAAAAGCUUUGUUGUGGGUAAUAAAUCGGGUACUUAUGUAUCGCGUGACAUGCUCUUGCAUGAUUAUUAUUUCGCAUCAUGUGGGUAAAGUGUACAAACUCUGCAGAGUUAAAACUAAUCGAUUAGCCGUGCUCGCGGUCAUGAGCGGCGUGUGGAUAUGUAUUGAGUAUAGACUUGUGUUUACUCUCCUAAAUGCUGAAAUUUACCUUCAAAUUGUGAUGAGAUUUGAGAAUGAUCUCCUUGCUGCCAUGGAUGGCAAUAAGGUGAAUAUUUAUACAUGAUUAAUGCCUACCUUGAUGCCCAAUACGUCAAAUACUAGCUUGCUGAAAUUUAUUUGAAAGUAAACCUGAUUUAGAAAUGUUUUAUGCAAAUAAAACUUGCUUUAUGCUAAAAAGAACCAUAUUAUGCCUUCCUUGAUUAUAUGCCUUGCAAGUAGGGUCUUAGGCUUGUCUUGGUGCUUGCCAGUACAUUAUUUCUAAUAAUGUACUGACUCUUGCUAUGGAAUUAACCUUUUGCUUGCAGGAUUUAGACUUAGCCUUUGAGUGAUGCGGGUGAUCGACUGCUUCUUCUAGGACUUGAACUUAAUGGGGUAAACCCCUAGUCGGUGUGCUUGUGGAUUGGGUAGACAAGCUUCCGCUGUUCUAUAUAUUUAUUUGGCCAGUCGGCCGAUGUAACUAAAGUAGAUGUAGUUUAUAAUCGCUUUCAUCUUAUUUGUGUUUGCUAUGUAUAAUCAUGCUUGAGAUGAAAGUGUGAAUCUAGUGCACAUCCUGGGAACUAGAUUCACAUGAGUAUGAGUUAAGAAUAUUUGAGAUGUUGUAGAUCUUUAGCCAUUUUUGUCAAGUCUCCUGAAUGUGUAACACAUCUGGUCACCGCCUUCGAGUGGUUUGACGGGCACAUCUCAGGCUGAAGUUGACUGGCAGGCUAAAGGCCCGGCAAUGUCUCCAAUAUUUCUCUCUCGAGGCGUCGGAUAUUUCAUUAUACUUGUUUGAUGACUUGAAUUAUACAUUUCAUCUCUCAAUUAUAAUGGAAGGUCCGGAGAGCCUACGACAGCAUGGUAUCAGAGCAAAUACCGACUAUAGGAGCCCCUUAAGUUGGUCGUUUAGAAUGAUUCCUUAAAAUUAUUUUGAGUACUAUGCUCUCAGCUACAAAUUAUUUGCGAAUAUUAUAUUCUAUCUUUUAUCUCAUCCCUCUUUAUAGAUUAUUUUCCUCUAUCUCUAUUUUGAUUUUGGAAACUCUUAUCUUGCUCUAUAGGACCGUAACAUUUUGAAAAUGCUACUUCUGUAUAAAUGUGUUUGAAAUCACCUAAUAAUCAAUAUAAAAUAAUAUGAAAGUGUUUUGAAAAGUUUUAAAAUCCAUUUGCAACCUACACCUAUGUACUAGUACGGAUUUGUAAAAUAUCGGGUUAGAGAUAGCCUCUAGUGAAUGGGUUUUGAAAAUGGGUUGAUAAAAUUUAAAACUUGAUAGACAUGAUAGAAUUUCCAUCUCCCUAUGUCGUCUCUGCACUAAAAAUGGAUUGGGUUUAUUUUGAACUCCUUUCUCCCGAAAUUUUAAAAUUUUACCGAUAUGGCCUAAAACGAGUAGUUUUGAAUAGGAUAGAAUUUGUUGUGCUUAAAACUUUAGAUUGUUUGCUUAGAUGGACCACCCAAAAUUCAUAUAGUUUCUGGACCACUCUAACAUAAUGCCAUUAAAAUAUGGUGAAUUUACGUAACUUAAAACUUGCAUAAAGUUUCAUUUUGUGCCGGUUAUUCUUUUUCUGGAAUCUUGAGUCAGUCAGUUUGUUCUUUUUGUCUAGGCUAAACCGUAGGUGAUAAACCUGAGAAUUUUUACAGGCAACAUGUAGACUAACUAAGCAAGCUUCAUGAAUUUUGACAUAAUUUUUAGACCCCUGCAUCAUGGUAAAACAAUUUAAUUAGGUAGCAUAACUACGUUCUGAAAUCUGUAGACAGCUGCAUUCAUCUUUCUGUGUAGCCCAAAGCAUGCAUGAUAAAAUAUGCACCUUUUCACAGUAGCUUAUCAACAUACCUAGUAGUCUCCACGAAUUUUGGCUAAAGUUUUGAGUCUUUGCAUCAUGGCAUAAAAAUUCAUAUGGCACUGCAUAGUCCCAAUCUGAAAACAGUAGUCAACCUGGUUGUUUAAUUUGUGUAGUCUAAACUAUAAAUGAUAAAAUCUUGGUUCCUUCAAGGUAGUUCACAACCUAACUCACCCAUCUCUCUGAUUUUUGCCUGGAUUUUUGCACCUUUAGAACUUGACCUAAAAGUUCAACAAAGACAGUAAACUGACAAAAUCCAGCACUGCACUACUUGGCAUGAUCAUUUUCUCUAAAAUAAUCCACUUGUCCAAAAAUCACCAUUCUUUUCCAGGUUAAAGACCACUUUGUUAGGAUGAUGAAUAUAAUAUUUUUUUUCUUAGCUUGUCAUCCCACUAGCAUAGACUUUUGUUUCAGUUUAUACCUCGGAACUGGGUAGGACAGCACCUAGCACAUAUGUCGAUUUAGCCCUUCAUUAAAAAUUUCUUUGAUAAACCUCAUAGCAAAAACUUUAUUUUUUUUAAGGGGGAUAGUGUACCAUGACCUUAUACACCCAGAGACAAAUAUGCAAUCUUGAUAAGCCCCCCUCAAUGCCUAAAAGAAACCCACCAUACUAGGAACAAGUCAUAAGCAAACUAUGUGAUUUAUGUUGAGAUGGCUCAAUGCGCGAAUUUUGUACCCCUUUAUGGUUGGAUGCAAGAUCUGUACAUUGAAGCAACUCACAAACAUGGUUUGGAACCUUGACUUAAAGAUUUUGAAAACUUCUCUAAAAUGAUCUACUUGUUUUAAAAAUUACCACCGCAACCUACUAAUCAGUUGAACCGAAGGGGAUUGUACUAUGGCAUGUAUGCAAUACAAAAAUACCUUCAUAAGCAUUGAAUCAUUCCAUACAUUCAUCGCAUCAUCCAUUUAUCAUGAAAUCAUAGCAUACAUCCAUGCCUUCUUAAAAAAAAAUAUUGCUAUACAUGCCAUCAAGCAACCCACUUAACUUUAAAUUGGUAACCUUCGAGCUUGCUGUCCAAAAUUUUAAAAUUUUGGAAAUGUGGGCUCAACUAAGAUAGAUCAAUGACCAUAGAUCCAAAAAAAAAAAUAUGUACCAUAAUGUACCUUGUUAGAACCAACUUCUCUAGUACCACUUUUUGAUUAUCUACCAAAGCCUUCGUAAACCACAAUUGAGUAAAACCUGCCACCCAUCUAUUAAAUAGAAGUUUCAAAAUGUUUUAUGGUAGCAAGUCUAUGAUACAACUUAAGAAAGUUACUAUCAUUUAUCAAUCCUCAGGAGAUAGUCAUGACUUAAGCUAACCUCACCCACAGGAAAUUAAGUAGAACCUUUUAUUAGAGGUAUUAAAUGUGGUAUGUUUGAAAGAGAUUUAGAAAAAAAAAAUAAUUAAAUCAGAUACUAUAGUGUUAUCGGAAAGCAUCAUACAAGUAAAACUUUCGGUAGGUCUUUCAAUGUCAUCAAGGUUAGGAUUAUAAUCCAUUCUUAACUUUGACAAAUUACCGGGGGCUCGAUAGUAAGAACCACACUAAAAGAGUAGAAUUCUCAGGAAGCCAACACAUUGAACAAUGUAACCACCCACAACCAUACCCAAAUCUCGGGGACGAGAUUUAUUUAAGGGGGAUAGGUUGUAACAUACCCGAAUUCUAGGAUUAAGGAAUUUCUAUCAAAACUAGUUGAAAGGAAAGUUCUUCAAUUUUGUAAACCAAAAAUUUCCAUUUUAAACCUAGGUGAAGUUGAUCUAACUCUUGCAUGAUAAAAUUUUAAAACAAAUUAAAACCUUUGCAUCUCUAACCUAGGACAAAAAUAUAAAUUUAUGUGUAAGCAUGCAUACUCUCAUAGACAUGUUUGACUUGAGUCCUUCAUAUGCAUUUGGAUUUGGAUUGCAUUUGGAUUUUCGAUUUGCAUUUCAUAAUAGGUCUCAUGAAUAUUAACUAAGAUCUAGAUAAACAACUAAACCAUUAGGGCCUAGUGCUAGCUAGAGGAAGUUAAAAUAGAAACCAUACACCUUAAAAUAUAUCAACAAGGCCAAUGUCAAGCCCCACAAAACUAUUUUGGUCAUCCAUCUGAAGACUAGUCAUGAACAUGGAAGUGACCAAAUAAAUUAUAUCAUAUAGGGUAUAUUCUAUCUUAAUCAUCUCUAUAAGCAUUCUCUUAAUUUAAUACUAAAGUAAACUUGUGCAUAAUAGGUAAGGAGCUUAUGACCUGUGUAAUGUAAAUUGUAAUUCUAACAUAUCAACAUCACCUCAGGUUAAUGAGAGUCCAAAUAUAACUUUUAUAAACAUUUACAUGCAUUUAGGAAAGGGAAACAUAUAUAAGACAUAAGUCUUGCGAAUUAUCUAAAAUAAUUCGUGCAAGAUAAAACCAUGGGAAAAUUCAUGUAGGCUCUAAUCAACACAUGCAACUCACUGUAAUUUUGGUAUGAUUUAAUAACUAAAUUUGGUACCUCAAAUAAAUCAGUCAAACUAAUAAAAACUAGAUUAACUGUAGUUCUUAAUCGGCUAAAACCAUACUUUGUCUAAAAGUGCAUUUAACUGCAUAAAAGUGUAUAAGUAAAAUAAUUUAUUCAAAUACUAGGUCAUUUAUAAUGAAUAAAAAUAAAUUUUCCAGAAUUUAUCUUCUCUAUUUAGGUCUCCUAAAAAUUCGAACUAGUUUCCAAAGAACCCAUAUUCCUCUAAUUUCUGUGAGUAAUCUAUCCAUAAUUUUUGAGUGCAACCAAAGAAAAUGGAAACUAGGUACAUACACCUACCUCCAGUAAAAUCAACACUAGUUAAUCUGAUCAACACAUUAAGUAUUGAAGCUACAAAAUUAGAGGAGAAAAUAAUUCCGGAAAUUCGUCCAAAAACCAAGCUCACCCAUGUCUCUGCCUACACAUCUCUCUUCCACCUAGUUUACUUCGACCUGGGCCCCCUUGUCAGUCCCUCCGGCUUGCCCUUCCUCUGUGCAACUUCCCUAGCCGACCGAGAAACACUGAGAGGGAGAGAUCGAGCGCCGACCGGCUCUGGACGCCGCGCGACGCGUGGCCACGACGUGUCGACGCCCUAAAAACGCCGAGCUCCAUUUCUGCCUCUCCCAGACGCGUCGCCACUCUUCACCCACCAUUCCAGUGCCGAUCCAUCCGAGGGAGAGCAUCCUCGCUGCUCUUCUCCACUGGUUCUCCAUCGCCGGCCACGAAGAAGACAAUGGCCGCAAUCGUUGAUGAGCCGCGGUUGUUUCCUCUUCUCUUGCGUUCCAUACUCUCCUCACCAUGCCGAAUAUUUCUCCUUUUGAUUUCAUCCUCUCUGGUGCAGCCAAUCGGCGGGAACGCUGCCGUGCACACCGGAGCUCUGGAGCGCGCUCUGCGCACCGCCGCAGCGACAUCGUCGCCGUUGCCAUCAAUCUAGAUCAAGCCGGAGCGAGCCACCACGCCACCAGCUUCACCUCAACCUCCUCUCCAUUUCCCCUCAAGAAUCUUGAAGAAUGGUGCUACGAGUGUGGAGAUCGUCCACCGUCUUCUCCACCUCCGGUCGCCGUCGCCAUUGUCGAUUCCGCCUCCUCCGGUGAGCCAUUGUCCGAUUCUUCGCGUAUACACCAUCCCUGGGACCUCACUAACCCCAUGAAAACACAUGCAUGUCAAUUCGAUGAGUGGAUCGAGCCGUUGCCGUCUUCCCGGAGCUCUACACCGUCGCCGGACCAUCUUCUUCUCCGCUGCCGCUGUCCAGACUUUCCGGCGCCUCGUUCAAGGUUCGGUGAGCACCCUUGAGCCCAUAGGAUUGCAUUCAUGCAUUUCAUUCACUUAGAAUUGAGCACCAACUCAACAUGCAGUAGCAGCCUAAGCACAGCCGCCGCUCGGACUCGCCGCCGGCGUUACUCCGAUGUCCACUGACCAAGAAAAGAAGAGGAAUGGAAUCGCAAUAGCAUGAUCUUCAUUUUGUCUUUUGGUCGCACCCUCAAACGAGCCACCGUUUGCCGCUGGCAAGCUUGAGAUCGAGCUCAGCCAUGGCUGUUCUGCCUCUCUGCGUGAGAAAAGAAGUCAGGGACCUUGUUUCGAGAAUUUAAACAACUAUAAGGUUUAAUGUGCAACUUUUCAAUUCACUGACAUAUGAGCCUAGGUCUGCGGGUUGAUUCUUAGAAACCUCAGGGAUCUUUUUGUAUAUUGAUCUCUCACUGACAGUGGACCCCUUGGAAACAAAAUCUGGAAUUAUAAAAGAACAGUAACUAAAACUUGUAAAAUCCAUAUAAAAUUAAAUAUAGCUCAUUUUAAGAUGAUUCAAAUUUCUGUGAACUCACCAAAUUGGGAAAUUUGAUGUUAUGGAAUAAAAACUUGCACUCACAGUACAAAUUUAGCCUCUAAAAUUUAUCCAAGUUAAAUCACACAUAAAGCACGCACAAAUUUAUAAAAUGCAUACAAAAUUCAUUUCAACUCAUUUUAGAGCAAACUUAGUUUCUACAGAUCCACCAACAUGUUCUCUAAAAAUAAAUUAAAAUAAAACAUAUAAACACUUUACAUCAAAUGCCUCUAAAACUAUUAUCUUUAAAAUAACUAGUUUGGCAUAAGAUGAACUUUAGAAGUUUAUAUAAAACUCAUCUUAGAUCCUUUUUGAAUAAACCCAAGUUCUGUAUAAUCACCAAAACAUAUACUUCCAAGUUAUAAAAUAAAAUUAUAUACUUACUUAUGUAAGUAAUAACCAUCAUAGAGCAACCUUAAAAUGUAAAAUUUGUAGAAAAUUCAUCUUUAGUCUAAAUGAAGUGAACCAAAUAUCUAUAGAACCAGCAAACAGUGGGCUUCAACAUAGUAAAAUAAAAUAUGGAACCUUCUGUACAGGUUAUAGCUCUAAACUUUAAAUUUAUAGGAUAGGAGCUAAUCACAUAGUAUCGAUUGAGCAAUAUGUAUAUAUAUAAAUGUACAUAGAAAUACACUCUAGCUAUAAUGAAACCCAAAUAAAACUUGUUAGACCAGUGAAUGCAUAGUUCCAUUCCCAUCCACCAAAACUUAAGGCACUUAGCUUAUGUAAUAAUUUCUAGGUUGAUAUAAUAAAUUGCUAACAUGGACUAGAGCUCCCCUAGUUUAUAAAAUAUGAACCAUGAUAAUAAAGACCAUAAGCCUAUGAACUAAGGUUAGAUUAGUUAACUAAAAUACUCAUUUUAUACAUCACUAGCUAGAUGAGGCAAGUUCUAGACCUAAACCUCUAAAGCCAUGAACCUAUAGAACACUAUACACCUAUAACACGUUAUAAUUUGUAAAAUACAUAAAGAAUUCAUAUUAACUCUAAAAAUUAUGAAACCAAAUGUGUUAGUCUUAGAAAACACAUAUCUUCACCCCAGCAAACAUAAACUUAAUAAGAAUCACCUUAUAACAGCAUUUCACAAUAGUACCUAAGUAAAUCCUACGCUAUACCGAUGAAACUUCUAAAAUUCAUAAUUCUCAAAUGAAAUGAGAUAAAAUAGAAAUUCUUUCACCUAAAUUCAUUUUAGACCAGUACCUAUUCGCUGUGCACAAAUCAUCCAUUUUAGAGCAUUUUGGAUUUUUCGCAUAUUUCGGUGUUUAAUUGCAUAACGUGUACUUUGUAUAGAUGAUUGCUUAAUCGGUGAAGAAGUGAUUUAGGUGCUGAUAUUUUCCUGAUUCAAGGCAAGUCCCACCUCCCUCUCUUUGAUCACUUUGAACCUAUGUUUUGGAGGUUAUUGAAAAUGUUUGCAAAUCUUGCAUGUCGAUUGUACACUAAUAAAUUAAAAUUUUGUUAAACUUGUUGGACAAACUCCUAUUGUUUGCAUUCACCUUGACCCCACAUAUAUCCAUAUCCCUCACUCCUAACCUUAGGAACAAUAUGACUAUACCACUUUAUAUAUGACUUUUGGUGACACUAGGUUACUAUAUAAAGCUUAGCCAUGCUUAGAAUUGUCUUCCUUGUCAUUAUGGGCUCAUUACAAACAUGAAAAUAAAUUUUUAAUUAAUCUGGACAGAACUUUAAUACUUGUGAUUUUGAUAAAUAAAAUGGUGGAAAAACAUGGAUUUUAGGUUUGGGCCUCAAGUGGUGCACAUAUGGUGAUUAGUUGUGUACCGAUAGGGGGAGAGUGUGCCCAAACCGACCUAAGGACUUCACUCAAUGUCAGUUCAUUUCGUAUACAGUGCAACCACAUGUGCUAGUAUGGGAUAGCCCAAGCUUAGUAAAUUAUUUAUGGUUUAGCCUUACAUUCUGGUAGGCUGGUGUGUAUGAGUUCGGAUAACUCAGAGGAACUUCCUAUUUACCCCGACGUGGUAGUUUAGGUGACUAAGUCUGUCCAAUACAACGGUAUUGUGCCACGUGGGUGGGUUCCCGUUGUGUCCGCCACCACGGCGUUAAGUUUAAGGCGUGGGCCCGCCACUUAACGGUUCUAGGUCAUAUAACGUGUAUGGCUUAGGAUGGAGUAACACGUAUCGUGCUGGUGUAAGGCUAAAUCAUGAAUUUUGGAAAAGCUUUGUUGUGGGUAAUAAAUCGGGUACUUAUGUAUCGCGUGACAUGCUCUUGCAUGAUUAUUAUUUCGCAUCAUGUGGGUAAAGUGUACAAACUCUGCAGAGUUAAAACUAAUCGAUUAGCCGUGCUCGCGGUCAUGAGCGGCGUGUGGAUAUGUAUUGAGUAUAGACUUGUGUUUACUCUCCUAAAUGCUGAAAUUUACCUUCAAAUUGUGAUGAGAUUUGAGAAUGAUCUCCUUGCUGCCAUGGAUGGCAAUAAGGUGAAUAUUUAUACAUGAUUAAUGCCUACCUUGAUGCCCAAUACGUCAAAUACUAGCUUGCUGAAAUUUAUUUGAAAGUAAACCUGAUUUAGAAAUGUUUUAUGCAAAUAAAACUUGCUUUAUGCUAAAAAGAACCAUAUUAUGCCUUCCUUGAUUAUAUGCCUUGCAAGUAGGGUCUUAGGCUUGUCUUGGUGCUUGCCAGUACAUUAUUUCUAAUAAUGUACUGACUCUUGCUAUGGAAUUAACCUUUUGCUUGCAGGAUUUAGACUUAGCCUUUGAGUGAUGCGGGUGAUCGACUGCUUCUUCUAGGACUUGAACUUAAUGGGGUAAACCCCUAGUCGGUGUGCUUGUGGAUUGGGUAGACAAGCUUCCGCUGUUCUAUAUAUUUAUUUGGCCAGUCGGCCGAUGUAACUAAAGUAGAUGUAGUUUAUAAUCGCUUUCAUCUUAUUUGUGUUUGCUAUGUAUAAUCAUGCUUGAGAUGAAAGUGUGAAUCUAGUGCACAUCCUGG
Molecule: long non-coding RNA, 11060 nt
Filed under: Oryza sativa (Asian cultivated rice)
Lineage: Eukaryota; Viridiplantae; Streptophyta; Magnoliopsida; Poales; Poaceae
Description: long non-coding RNA (OSAT_LNC000951)
Source: RNAcentral